MicroRNA precursor from Oreochromis aureus, 59 nucleotides. Lineage: Eukaryota; Metazoa; Chordata; Actinopteri; Cichliformes; Cichlidae. The record is from Ensembl.
CGGUUACUCUGCGCUCACCGUUGUGAGCUGGCCCAUGUGUGACUGCAGAGAUAACCCCU